This 416-nucleotide ribosomal RNA is filed under the name Neonectria sp. nc_besc_4c. Its description in RNAcentral is "eukaryotic LSU rRNA". The stretch from base 38 to 191 matches the Rfam family "5.8S ribosomal RNA". The record is from RNAcentral. Lineage: Eukaryota; Fungi; Ascomycota; Sordariomycetes; Hypocreales; Nectriaceae.
UGAGUGACUCUUCUGAGUAACCGAUUAAAUCAAUCAAAACUUUCAACAACGGAUCUCUUGGUUCUGGCAUCGAUGAAGAACGCAGCGAAAUGCGAUAAGUAAUGUGAAUUGCAGAAUUCAGUGAAUCAUCGAAUCUUUGAACGCACAUUGCGCCCGCCAGUAUUCUGGCGGGCAUGCCUGUUCGAGCGUCAUUACAUCCCUCAAGCCCCCGGGCUUGGUGUUGGGGAUCGGCGAGCCUCAGCGCCCGCCGUCCCCUAAAUUUAGUGGCGGUCACGCUGUAACUUCCUCUGCGUAGUAGCACACUUAGCACUGGGAAACAGCGCGGCCACGCCGUAAAACCCCCCAACUUUUGAACGUUUGACCUCGAAUCAGGUAGGACUACCCGCUGAACUUAAGCAUAUCAAUAAGCGGAGGAA